This 483-nucleotide ribosomal RNA is filed under the name uncultured bacterium. RNAcentral describes it as "partial 16S ribosomal RNA". It matches the Rfam family "Bacterial small subunit ribosomal RNA", at positions 30 to 506 of the family's 1533-position model. The record is from RNAcentral.
AUUGAACGCUGGCGGCAGGCCUAACACAUGCAAGUCGAGCGGAUGAAGGGAGCUUGCUCCUGGAUUCAGCGGCGGACGGGUGAGUAAUGCCUAGGAAUCUGCCUGGUAGUGGGGGAUAACGUCCGGAAACGGGCGCUAAUACCGCAUACGUCCUGAGGGAGAAAGUGGGGGAUCUUCGGACCUCACGCUAUCAGAUGAGCCUAGGUCGGAUUAGCUAGUUGGUGGGGUAAAGGCCUACCAAGGCGACGAUCCGUAACUGGUCUGAGAGGAUGAUCAGUCACACUGGAACUGAGACACGGUCCAGACUCCUACGGGAGGCAGCAGUGGGGAAUAUUGGACAAUGGGCGAAAGCCUGAUCCAGCCAGGCCGCGUGUGUGAAGAAGGUCUUCGGAUUGUAAAGCACUUUAAGGUGGGAGGAAGGGCAGUAAGUUAAUACCUUGCUGUUUGGACGUUACCAACAGAAUAAGCACCGGCUAACUUCGG